Molecule: ribosomal RNA, 250 nt
Filed under: uncultured bacterium
Lineage: Bacteria
Description: partial 16S ribosomal RNA
Rfam family: Bacterial small subunit ribosomal RNA
Source: RNAcentral
GACGUAGGAGGCGAACGUUAUCCGAAUUUACUGGGCGUAAAGCGCGUGCAGGCGGUUCGGUAAGUUGGAUGUGAAAUCUCCUGGCUCAACUGGGAGAGGUCGUUCAAUACUGUCGGACUAGAGGGUGGUAGAGGGAGGUGGAAUUCCCGGUGUAGUGGUGAAAUGCGUAGAUAUCGGGAGGAACACCAGUGGCGAAGGCGGCCUCCUGGACCAUUCCUGACGCUCAGACGCGAAAGCUAGGGGAGCGAAC